Molecule: ribosomal RNA, 305 nt
Filed under: uncultured bacterium
Lineage: Bacteria
Description: bacterial SSU rRNA
Rfam family: Bacterial small subunit ribosomal RNA
Source: RNAcentral
UGACCUACGGGACGCAGCAGUGAGGAAUAUUGGUCAAUGGACGAGAGUCUGAACCAGCCAAGUCGCGUGAGGGAAUAAGGCCCUACGGGUCGUAAACCUCUUUUGCCGGGGAGCAAGGGCGGGGACGUGUCCCGGCCCGGAGAGUACCCGGAGAAAAAGCAUCGGCUAACUCCGUGCCAGCAGCCGCGGUAAUACGGAGGAUGCGAGCGUUAUCCGGAGUUAUUGGGUUUAAAGGGUGCGUAGGCGGGCUUUUAAGUCAGCGGUAAAAAUUCGGGGCUCAACCCCGUCCGGCCGUUGAAACUGGG